GCCAUGCCGCGUGUGUGAAGAAGGCCUUUUGGUUGUAAAGCACUUUAAGCAGUGAAGAAGACCUAACGGUUAAUACCCGUUAGCGAUGACAUUAGCUGCAGAAUAAGCACCGGCUAACUCUGUGCCAGCAGCCGCGGUAAUACAGAGGGUGCAAGCGUUAAUCGGAAUUACUGGGCGUAAAGCGAGCGUAGGUGGCUUGAUAAGUCAGAUGUGAAAUCCCCGGGCUUAACCUGGGAACUGCAUCUGAUACUGUUAGGCUAGAGUAGGUGAGAGGGAGGUAGAAUUUCAGGUGUAGCGGUGAAAUGCGUAGAGAUCUGAAGGAAUACCGAUGGCGAAGGCAGCCUCCUGGCAUCAUACUGACACUGAGGUUCGAAAGCGUGGGUAGCAAACAGGAUUAGAUACCCUGGUAGUCCACGCCGUAAACGAUGUCUACUAGUCGUUGGGGAACUUGAUUCCUUAGUGACGCAGCUAACGCAAUAAGUAGACCGCCUGGGGAGUACGGCCGCAAGGUUAAAACUCAAAUGAAUUGACGGGGGCCCGCACAAGCGGUGGAGCAUGUGGUUUAAUUCGAUGCAACGCGAAGAACCUUACCUGGUCUUGACAUAUCUAGAAUCCUGCAGAGAUGCGGGAGUGCCUUCGGGAAUUAGAAUACAGGUGCUGCAUGGCUGUCGUCAGCUCGUGUCGUGAGAUGUUGGGUUAAGUCCCGCA
RNAcentral lists this ribosomal RNA (708 nucleotides) under Psychrobacter phenylpyruvicus. Its description in RNAcentral is "bacterial SSU rRNA". It matches the Rfam family "Bacterial small subunit ribosomal RNA", at positions 391 to 1091 of the family's 1533-position model. Lineage: Bacteria; Pseudomonadati; Pseudomonadota; Gammaproteobacteria; Moraxellales; Moraxellaceae. The record is from RNAcentral.